Molecule: ribosomal RNA, 614 nt
Filed under: uncultured fungus
Lineage: Eukaryota; Fungi
Description: eukaryotic LSU rRNA
Rfam family: Eukaryotic large subunit ribosomal RNA
Source: RNAcentral
CCCGCUGAACUUAAGCAUAUCAAUAAGCGGAGGAAAAGAAACCAACAGGGAUUGCCCUAGUAACGGCGAGUGAAGCGGCAACAGCUCAAAUUUGAAAUCUGGCGCAAGCCCGAGUUGUAAUUUGUAGAGGAUGCUUCUAGGUAGCGACCGGUCUAAGUUCCUUGGAACAGGACGUCAUAGAGGGUGAGAAUCCCGUAUGUGACCGGCCCGCACCUUCUACGUAGCUCCUUCGACGAGUCGAGUUGUUUGGGAAUGCAGCUCUAAAUGGGAGGUAAAUUUCUUCUAAAGCUAAAUACCGGCCAGAGACCGAUAGCGCACAAGUAGAGUGAUCGAAAGAUGAAAAGCACUUUGGAAAGAGAGUUAAAAAGCACGUGAAAUUGUUGAAAGGGAAGCGCUUACAACCAGACUUCUGGGCGGUGUUCCGCCGGUCUUUUGACCGGUCUACUCACCGUCCCGAGGCCAACAUCAUCUGGGACCGCCGGAUAAGACCUUAGGAAUGUAGCUCCCCUCGGGGAGUGUUAUAGCCUGUGGUGAUGCGGCGAGUCUCGGGUGAGGUCCGCGCUUCGGCAAGGAUGUUGGCGUAAUGGUUGUCAGCGGCCCGUCUUGAAACACGG